GAUGAACGCUAGCGAUAGGCUUAACACAUGCAAGUCGAGGGGCAGCACAAGGUGGCUUGCUCUCUGGGUGGCGACCGGCGCACGGGUGCGUAACGCGUAUGCAACUUGCCCUAUACAGGAGGAUAACCCGUCGAAAGACGGACUAAUACUGCGUAUGCUCACAACUUGGCAUCAAGUGGUGAGGAAAGAAAUUCGGUAUAGGAUAGGCAUGCGUCCCAUUAGCUUGUUGGUGAGGUAACGGCUCACCAAGGCAACGAUGGGUAGGGGAACUGAGAGGUUUAUCCCCCACACUGGUACUGAGACACGGACCAGACUCCUACGGGAGGCAGCAGUGAGGAAUAUUGGUCAAUGGGCGCGAGCCUGAACCAGCCAAGUCGCGUGAAGGAUGACUGUCUUAUGGAUUGUAAACUUCUUUUAUACGGGAAUAACAAGAGUCACGUGUGACUCCCUGCACGUACCGUAUGAAUAAGCAUCGGCUAACUCCGUG
Molecule: ribosomal RNA, 487 nt
Filed under: uncultured bacterium
Lineage: Bacteria
Description: partial 16S ribosomal RNA
Rfam family: Bacterial small subunit ribosomal RNA
Source: RNAcentral